This is a non-coding RNA of Peromyscus maniculatus bairdii (prairie deer mouse), 1658 nucleotides long. Lineage: Eukaryota; Metazoa; Chordata; Mammalia; Rodentia; Cricetidae. The record is from RefSeq and is a predicted model, not a curated record.
AAAGCUUCCUCGGGGUUGGACCCUGGAUCAGGGUGUGGCUAAAGGUGUGGCAGGUGUCCUAAGUCAUAGUUAGGAGGCCUGCAAAGCCGCGAGUCUCAGCUUUUCUAUGUUGGGCAAGAUCAGGUUACCAAGGAGUGUUGAGAGCGGAAGGAACAGGCAGUUGAGAAAGCCGCCUCAGGUCUGGUUUUGAUAGGACCAGAGAAUAUGGGUUGGAGUUGGUGUGGGGUUUUGUGACCUUGUAAAAGAGACCCAGAGAGUUCCCUGGCCUCGUCUGAUGUGUGAGGUGCCAACAACACGAGGGUUCCCAAAAGACCAGGACCUGCUUGCCUCUUGAUCUUGGACUCGCCAAUCCUCAGAACAAUGAGAAAGACAUCCUGGUUGUUGGCUCUUCCAGUCUAAGGCGUUUGGUUGCCGCAGAGGUGAUGGACUGAGAAAAUAACUUCAAGACUUGGGGGCCGACAGCCACAGGGUCAGCUUCACAGCGAAGGUUCUCGAGAGUGAGCACUUUUCCUUCUGUGGUCAGCAGCUGCUCCUCAAAGUAGAGGAGCUGGUCAACUUCAAAGCAGUCGCUGGCCCGAGGAACCACGGUCUCCAGGUGCUCCCGGAUCUCUGCUUCACAGGCCUUCUGGUGCCUUGCUCUCUUGAGGUAAUCGUAGACCUCCUCAAACACUUCUGUCCCUAGCUUCUGCAUGGCUGAUCUGCCAAGAAAGAAAACCUGCUGAACUUUAAACACAGUUCUAUGCAAUAUCAUGAAGAAAAUAUCAGGACCAUUCCCUUUCACCAUGAGUAAGAAAGAUCCUGGGCUCUCUCAAACACAUCCACAUGACUCUGUGUAGAUAAACCUCUCCUUUGAUCAGGUACAGUUCACACUUGAACUCAGACAGGAUAAGAAGAGCAGCUCCUUCCCCUGCUGCAGACCUGCCUCAAUUAAUACCACUGUUGGAAGGUGGGAGAGGAUGAUCCAAUGAGAAGUGGAUUAUCUAGCCCAUCUGGUUCAUCGCCACAAUUAUGCUGCCAGCGUGUUGAAUUCCCACGGCACUCAGUCAUGACCCUAACAGCUCACAUCCUACUGUAAUUGACUUCUAAAUGUCUGUUUCUCCAAUGUUGGGCUGAGGCGAGGCACUGAGUAGCAAGGUACUAGGAUUAAAACCAUCAGCUGGACCCGGUAAGCAGCAUAUCAGGCCGUGACUCUGUCCCACAGGAGGAAGGCAGUGGUGAGUCCAGGAAGGAGUUGGUGAUGGUGAUGCUGGUUCUGGAAGCCAGCAAGAUGCUGCCCAAGUACAAGGAUCUAUCUUGGGUGUGGCCAACAGCUUCGUUUAAAACAUGGAGCAUCUUCCAGUUAGAGCAGAGUUUGGAUGCUGCAAACUAUGAAGAGAUGUUCAGAGGCGGCCCCCAGGCACCCCCACUGCAGCUAACACUCAGGAAGUGUGAAUCGCAGCACCUUUGGCACCACUUUUCACUUUGAGAUAUGUGCUAUGUACAAAGAUGCAGACCAUUAAGACCUUGGUGUGAUCAUGGAGCAGAGGGAACAGAACUUCACCGUCUGGAGGUUGCCAUCCACAAGGCCAGCUUCUCUUGCAGGCAAUGGAGAGGAGGCUGGCUUACAGUACUUGGGCUUCUGACAAUGAACAACCCAUCUAAGCGCAGGCCCAACAAAU